AAUAGGUGGCUGGUGUGUUUUCUCCUCUUCAAAAGCUUGUGGCUAAGCUUCAAAUCCGAGGGCCUAUCCAACUGAGCUCCUGAGGCUUCGAAGAGCCUCUUCCCCACUUGUCUAGAGCAAGGAGACGGGCCACUGGCCUGGGGGUCACCCGUGAUUCCUGUCCUUGCUUUUCACGGGGCCAGGCCUGCUGCUGACAUCUCGCAGCUCUCGUGUCCCACUGGGGCUGCUGCUCCCGUGGCCCAGUCCGUCCUCCCAUCUUCUGCAGAUUUAUGGGGCUGCCACCAAGGCUCCUCCAGACCAGGGACCACCGUUCUGCUUCAAGUCCCCCCAGCACAUGACGAGAUCCGAGCUUCUAACGUGUGAAAUCCACACUUUGGGGGAGGCCCUGGUUACCAGACUUGAUUUACGUGGUAGAGGCUGAAGAGCAAGGCCUGGGAACCCAGACUACUACAGAAAUGUUUAUGCUUUAGGAUCCCACUGGUUUCCUAUUGCUGCUGUAACGAAUUACCACAAACUUCAAGUGGCUUAAAACAACAGUCUUGGAAGACUUCCAGUGUGCCUACAGCCUGCCCAAGCAAUGGAGCUUCUAUCUCAGUGGUUCUCAACCUUCUGGCCCUUUAAAUACAGGUCCUCAUGUUGUGACCCAACCAUAAAAUUAUUUUCAUUGCUACUUCAUCACUGUAAUGUUGCUACUGUUAUGAAUCGUCAUGUAAAUAUCUGAUAAGCAGGAUGUUCUUAAGCGACCCCUGUGAAAGGGUCGUUGAGAACCGCUGUUCUAUCUGAACCAUGUACCCCUGCACCCACCUACUUCACUCCUGUGCUGUCACACACACACAGACUCCCUGAGCACUUUGCCCCAGCCGUGUGAGGAGGAGAAAGUCCUGGUCAGUGUCAGAAGACAUGGGUCUCAUCAGCCUGUUGGACUGGAAUCGUGAGGGUGAGAGGCAUGAGGGGGAGAGAAGAGAGGUGUGAUGAGGGAAUUGAAGCUGCUCCACGUAGCCCCGCGUGCCAUUUUGCAUGUCCUCCUUGGGACGCCUAGCUCCCUCACAAACAUAGGCACACACCGUGAAGAGCCAAUUACCGCUGGCUUUUACCUCCACCUGGGGAAGCCAUGGAUCCCCAAAGGGCACGAGCCCUUUCAGAACCAAAGCCCGGCCGCGGCGGCCGUUCCACCGAAGCGGCCCUGCACCGUGGCUCUCUCCUCUCUCUCCCGUUCUCUUUUUCCUUUUUCUUUUGCCUCCAUUUUUCCCACCCUCCCUCCCUCGUUUCUCUCUGCUGCUCCUUCCUUUUAAAAACAAGCAGAGCAGCCACCCUCCUGUUGAUCUGCUUGUGCUCCGUGUGCGGAGCCUGGGGACCGCCCAGCGUAGUUCCCUGUGGCUGUUCCGUUGAGCCCGACUGCGGCCCAGCAGCGGCAACGCAGUCCCGUCCCAGCUCCGUGAGGUCCCGGAGGCUGACAAGCAGAACAGCCUCUGCUUUGUUUGUGUUUCACUCGUGGUGCCCUGUGAGCCAGGUGGGCUGCGGGCCGGGCUCCUCCCGCAGGACACAUCAGAGAGGAGCUGGGCUCCAUGUCGUCCCUACACACUCCCUUCCGCUAACACGCGCGCACACACACACACACACACACA
Molecule: long non-coding RNA, 1625 nt
Organism: Myotis myotis
Lineage: Eukaryota; Metazoa; Chordata; Mammalia; Chiroptera; Vespertilionidae
Exons: 3
Source: RefSeq, a predicted model, not a curated record